This 253-nucleotide ribosomal RNA is filed under the name uncultured bacterium. RNAcentral describes it as "partial 16S ribosomal RNA". It matches the Rfam family "Bacterial small subunit ribosomal RNA", at positions 524 to 776 of the family's 1533-position model. The record is from RNAcentral.
UACGGAGGGUGCGAGCGUUGUCCGGAAUCACUGGGCGUAAAGGGCGCGUAGGUGGCGCGGCAAGUCAACGGUGAAAGCUCGACGCUCAACGUCGAGUCGGCCGUCGAUACUGCCGCGCUGGAGCACUAUAGAGGCUCAUGGAAUUCCGGGUGUAGCGGUGGAAUGCGUAGAGAUCCGGAAGAACACCGGUGGCGAAGGCGGUGAGCUGGGCAGUAGCUGACACUGAGGCGCGACAGCGUGGGGAGCAAACAGG